This 288-nucleotide ribosomal RNA is filed under the name uncultured bacterium. Its description in RNAcentral is "partial 16S ribosomal RNA". It matches the Rfam family "Bacterial small subunit ribosomal RNA", at positions 334 to 637 of the family's 1533-position model. The record is from RNAcentral.
UCUGCCUACGGGACGCAGCAGGGGGGGAUAUUGCACAAUGGGGGAAACCCUGAUGCAGCGACGCCGCGUGAGGGAAGACGGCCUUCGGGUUGUAAACCUCUGUCGCAGGGGACGAAGGAAGUGACGGUACCCUGUGAGGAAGCCACGGCUAACUACGUGCCAGCAGCCGCGGUAAUACGUAGGCGGCGAGCGUUGUCCGGAAUUACUGGGUGUAAAGGGAGCGUAGGCGGGAGUGCAAGGUGAAUGUGUAAACUAUCGGCUCAACUGAUAGGAGCGUUCAAAACUGCA